UGUGGGGAAUCUUAGACAAUGGGGGCAACCCUGAUCUAGCCAUGCCGCGUGAGUGACGAAGGCCCUAGGGUCGUAAAGCUCUUUCGCCAGGGAUGAUAAUGACAGUACCUGGUAAAGAAACCCCGGCUAACUCCGUGCCAGCAGCCGCGGUAAUACGGAGGGGGUUAGCGUUGUUCGGAAUUACUGGGCGUAAAGCGCGCGUAGGCGGGCUGUUAAGUCGGGGGUGAAAUCCCGGGGCUCAACCCCGGAACUGCCCUCGAUACUGGCAGCCUAGAGUUCGAGAGAGGUGAGUGGAAUUCCGAGUGUAGAGGUGAAAUUCGUAGAUAUUCGGAGGAACACCAGUGGCGAAGGCGGCUCACUGGCUCGAUACUGACGCUGAGGUGCGAAAGCGUGGUGAGCAAACAGGAUUAGAUACCCUGGUAGUCCACGCCGUAAACGAUGAAUGCCAGACGUCAGGUUGCUUGCAACUUGGUGUCACACCUAACGGAUUAAGCAUUCCGCCUGGGGAGUACGGCCGCAAGG
Molecule: ribosomal RNA, 522 nt
Filed under: uncultured bacterium
Lineage: Bacteria
Description: bacterial SSU rRNA
Rfam family: Bacterial small subunit ribosomal RNA
Source: RNAcentral